AGUGGCGGACGGGUGAGUAACGCGUGAGAAUCUGCCCUUUGGAUGGGGAUAACGACUGGAAACGGUCGCUAAUACCCAAUAUGCCGAGAGGUGAAACUUAUAUGGCCAGAGGAUGAGCUCGCGUCUGAUUAGCUAGUUGGAGUGGUAACGGCACACCAAGGCGACGAUCAGUAGCUGGUCUGAGAGGAUGAUCAGCCACACUGGGACUGAGACACGGCCCAGACUCCUACGGGAGGCAGCAGUGGGGAAUUUUCCGCAAUGGGCGAAAGCCUGACGGAGCAAGACCGCGUGAGGGAGGAAGGCCUACUGGUUGUAAACCUCUUUUGAUAGGGAAGAAGAAAGUGACGGUACCUAUCGAACCAGCAUCGGCUAACUCCGUGCCAGCAGCCGCGGUAAUACGGAGGAUGCAAGCGUUAUCCGGAAUUAUUGGGCGUAAAGCGUCCGUAGGUGGUUAUUCAAGUCAGCUGUCAAAGGAUGGAGCUUAACUCCAUAAAGGCAGUUGAAACUGUGUAGCUAGAGUGCGAUAGGGGCAAGGGGAAUUCCCAGUGUAGCGGUGAAAUGCGUAGAUAUUGGGAAGAACAUCGGUGGCGAAAGCGCCUUGCUGGGUCUGCACUGACACUGAGGGACGAAAGCUAGGGGAGCGAAAGGGAUUAGAUACCCCUGUAGUCUUAGCUGUAAACGAUGGAUACUAGGCGUUG
RNAcentral lists this ribosomal RNA (698 nucleotides) under uncultured Oscillatoriales cyanobacterium. Its description in RNAcentral is "bacterial SSU rRNA". It matches the Rfam family "Bacterial small subunit ribosomal RNA", at positions 94 to 825 of the family's 1533-position model. Lineage: Bacteria; Bacillati; Cyanobacteriota; Cyanophyceae; Oscillatoriales. The record is from RNAcentral.